This 1287-nucleotide ribosomal RNA is filed under the name metagenome. Its description in RNAcentral is "bacterial SSU rRNA". It matches the Rfam family "Bacterial small subunit ribosomal RNA", at positions 242 to 1520 of the family's 1533-position model. The record is from RNAcentral.
UAGCUAGUUGGUGAGGUAAAGGCUUACCAAGGCGACGAUCUGUAGCGGGUCUGAGAGGAUGAUCCGCCACACUGGAACUGAGACACGGUCCAGACUCCUACGGGAGGCAGCAGUGGGGAAUUUUGGACAAUGGGGGCAACCCUGAUCCAGCCAUGCCGCGUGAGUGAAGAAGGCCUUCGGGUUGUAAAGCUCUUUCGGCCGGGAAGAAAUCGCAUGGGCCAAUACCCUGUGUGGAUGACGGUACCGGAAUAAGAAGCACCGGCUAACUACGUGCCAGCAGCCGCGGUAAUACGUAGGGUGCGAGCGUUAAUCGGAAUUACUGGGCGUAAAGCGUGCGCAGGCGGUUUUGUAAGACAGGCGUGAAAUCCCCGGGCUUAACCUGGGAACUGCGUUUGUGACUGCAAGGCUAGAGUACGGCAGAGGGGGGUGGAAUUCCACGUGUGGCAGUGAAAUGCGUAGAGAUGUGGAGGAACACCAAUGGCGAAGGCAGCCCCCUGGGUCGAUACUGACGCUCAUGCACGAAAGCGUGGGUAGCAAACAGGAUUAGAUACCCUGGCAGUCCACGCCCUAAACUAUGUCAACUAGGUGUUGGGUGGGUAAAACCAUUUAGUACCGUAGCUAACGCGUGAAGUUGACCGCCUGGGGAGUACGGCCGCAAGGUUAAAACUCAAAGGAAUUGACGGGGACCCGCACAAGCGGUGGAUGAUGUGGAUUAAUUCGAUGCAACGCGAAAAACCUUACCUACCCUUGACAUGCCAGGAACUUGCCAGAGAUGGCUUGGUGCCCGAAAGGGAGCCUGGACACAGGUGCUGCAUGGCUGUCGUCAGCUCGUGUCGUGAGAUGUUGGGUUAAGUCCCGCAACGAGCGCAACCCUUGUCGUUAAUUGCCAUCAUUUAGUUGGGCACUUUAACGAGACUGCCGGUGACAAACCGGAGGAAGGUGGGGAUGACGUCAAGUCCUCAUGGCCCUUAUGGGUAGGGCUUCACACGUCAUACAAUGGUCGGUACAAAGGGUUGCCAAGCCGCGAGGCGGAGCCAAUCCCAGAAAGCCGAUCGUAGUCCGGAUUGCAGGCUGCAACUCGCCUGCAUGAAGUCGGAAUCGCUAGUAAUCGUGGAUCAGCAUGUCACGGUGAAUACGUUCCCGGGUCUUGUACACACCGCCCGUCACACCAUGGGAGCGGGUUCCGCCAGAAGUAGGUAGCCUAACCGCAAGGGGGGCGCUUACCACGGCGGGGUUCGUGACUGGGGUGAAGUCGCAACAAGGUAGCCGUAGGGGAACCUGCGGCUG